This 298-nucleotide signal recognition particle RNA is filed under the name Saimiri boliviensis boliviensis (Bolivian squirrel monkey). RNAcentral's name for it is "Metazoan signal recognition particle RNA (ENSSBOG00000007872.1)". It matches the Rfam family "Metazoan signal recognition particle RNA". Rfam says of the family: The signal recognition particle (SRP) is a universally conserved ribonucleoprotein. It is involved in the co-translational targeting of proteins to membranes. The eukaryotic SRP consists of a 300-nucleotide 7S RNA and six proteins: SRPs 72, 68, 54, 19, 14, and 9. Lineage: Eukaryota; Metazoa; Chordata; Mammalia; Primates; Cebidae. The record is from Rfam by way of RNAcentral.
GCCAGGCUCUGUGGCCCAUGCCUGUAGUCACAGCUACCCAGAGGCUAAGGUGGGAGGAUCGCUUGAGCCUAGGAGUUCUGGGCUGUAGUUCACUAUGCCAAUUGGGUGUCCACACUAACUCUGGUGUCAGUAUCGUGACCUCCCAGGAGCCGGGGACCACCAUGUUACCUAAAGAGGGGUGAACUGGCCCAGGUCGGAAAUGGAGCAGGUCAAAAUUCCCAUGCUGAUUAGUAGUGGGAUUAUGCCUGUGAAUAGCCACUGCACUCUGGCCUGGGCAACAUACUGAGAACCAGACUCU